UACGUAGGGGGCAAGCGUUGUCCGGAUUUAUUGGGCGUAAAGAGCGUGUAGGCGGCCAGGUAGGUCUGCUGUGAAAACUCGAGGCUUAACCUCGAGAUGUCGGCGGAAACCAUCUGGCUAGAGUCCGGAAGAGGAGAGUGGAAUUCCUGGUGUAGCGGUGAAAUGCGCAGAUAUCAGGAGGAACACCGAUUGCGAAGGCAGCUCGCUGGGACGUUACUGACGCUGAGACGCGAAAGCGUGGGGAGCAAACAGG
This 253-nucleotide ribosomal RNA is filed under the name uncultured bacterium. Its description in RNAcentral is "partial 16S ribosomal RNA". It matches the Rfam family "Bacterial small subunit ribosomal RNA", at positions 524 to 776 of the family's 1533-position model. The record is from RNAcentral.